Molecule: long non-coding RNA, 561 nt
Organism: Vespa crabro (European hornet)
Lineage: Eukaryota; Metazoa; Arthropoda; Insecta; Hymenoptera; Vespidae
Exons: 3
Source: RefSeq, a predicted model, not a curated record
GAACAUUUUUUAAAUUCCAUUGGACUGAUAAAAUGAAUUGGAAAUGCUUACAUACACACGCACAACACACACACAGAGUGUGUGAUGUAAAUAUAAUAAGAAAGAUAUUUUUGUCAGAGAGAUAAUCAAAUGUUAAAUAAAAGUGAAAUGAAAUCAAGGGUAAAGAAUUUGAACGGGAUUUUAAUUCAGUCGAUUAAUUACUUUCCUUGUUUCUGGAAUGAGACACUUUACGAAACAACACGUUACGAAAUAUCUAACGAGACGAUCACAAAGCAGAUAGACAUUCGAGAAACUCGUGCUGAUAUAUCGCAAGCGUGUAAGUGAAGAAACGUAAAUUGAAUGUGCCCACAUGCCUUCGAAUGAACGAGUUACGCGUUAACGAGCUAAUCGAGAGGGACUGCGAGGGCCGACCACAAGUGCCACUAAAACGAGGGAAAGAGAGAAAAAGAGGUCUCACCGCUAACAUGGCCGAAAAUGAAAUAGAUCGCUGAAACGGCGAAACCGGAAGCAAUUGCGGUCGCUAGGAUGGAGAGUCCACUUCCGGAGACUGCAGUAGAAGAG